CUUAAACACAUCUGUAGGCUGUUAUCUUCCUCUCUCAUCAGUGUUCUAUACAUGCUGAGAGAGUUUCUGUCUUCUGCUGACCCACAGCAGAUUUUGAGGGUGUGAUUUAUAAGUUCUACUAAGAUCCUUUUCAUCGUUCAUUUAUGGUAUGGAGUUGGUUGAACAGAAGCCUGGAUUAUAACUCAGGAUUAUAUUUACAAUGCCUGGAGGUCACAUUAUCACUUUGAUGCUUCUAAUUUGGUCAUUUGUUGGUGGAGGGAUUUGUGAGCGUAAUGUGGAGGGUGUGUUACACGGUCGAGUGGAGCUCCACGCAUGCCAUAGACCCCAACAAACUGUGAGAAGAGUGGAAUGGGCUAAAUAUAAAAGUUCAUCAGCACCACGUCUGUUAUAUAUAUUUGAUCAGCCAAAUGACACUUCAUGCUUCUUCAACUCUUGCCAAAAUAUUCAGUUAAUUAAAGAGAAUAUGAGUCUUAUUUUUGUUAAUCUGACAAAAGAAGAUGAAGGUGUUUAUCAGAAUAAAUUAUUGCUUAAUUAUAGGACAGCAGAGUCAUGUAACAUCACUUUAUCUGUACUAUCUCCUCCGACUGCAUUAAGGAUAUCUGUGUCCAGUUCUAACUGCACUCUGACCCUGAGGUGUGAGGUGAGAGGACAGUUUCUGAACCUGCACUGGUUUUGGAACGGCCUCCUGCUGCUGCCAGAUGACCAGAGAAUCAGCAUCAGUGAGAGGAACCUGACUGUGCAUGUGUCUAACCUGAACCGCUCAGACUGGGGGACGUACACCUGUCGGGCUUCAAAUGAAGCUGGGACGUCAGAGGCACAUGUGAACAUCACAGAUAACAGUGCUACACUAUGUCAGGACAACAUACAAGAAGAAGAAGAAGAAGAAGAAGAAAAAGAACAACUUUCUACGAAGUUCCUGUACUUAAGUGGGCUCACACUUGGCACCACCAUGCUUUUGUCCAUCAUUUUAGUUUGCAUUUGCAAAAAUGAGAACGGAUAUAAGGAAUUCAUAUCCUCUCAGGCAGAAACUUCAGAGGUGGAGUUUUUGCCGUACCUUUAUGCAGACUUCAUAAAGCCCAAAGCUCUGCAGCAGGCUGCAGAUGAAGGGGAACUUGCUGAGGACUUUACCAAAGUUUUCUACAGUACUGCAGAAUAAGCUCCGCCCUCAAACUGCAGGGUAAUGGAACCACAGGUCUGAACAGUGGUCUUUUGAGAUGCAUUUUUUUACACUGAAAUGUAUUUGUGUGCACAAUUUCUACUGUAAAUAAAUUAGAUAUUAUUAGUUACUGAGGUACA
Molecule: long non-coding RNA, 1296 nt
Filed under: Astyanax mexicanus (Mexican tetra)
Lineage: Eukaryota; Metazoa; Chordata; Actinopteri; Characiformes; Acestrorhamphidae
Description: lncRNA (ENSAMXG00005012145.1)
Source: RNAcentral